Molecule: ribosomal RNA, 253 nt
Filed under: uncultured bacterium
Lineage: Bacteria
Description: partial 16S ribosomal RNA
Rfam family: Bacterial small subunit ribosomal RNA
Source: RNAcentral
GGCGAACCGUGCGAACGUUGUUCGGAAUCACUGGGCUUAAAGGGCGCGGAGGCGGAUUGCCAAGUCAGGGGUGAAAUCUCUCAGCUCAACUGGGAAAUUGCUUUUGAUACUGGCAGUCUCGAGUGAGGUAGGGGCAUGUGGAACUCUCGUUGGAGCGGUGAACUGUGUUGAUAUCGGGAGGAACUCCGGUGGCGAAAGCGACGUGCUGGACCUCAACUGACGCUGAGGCGCGAAAGCUAGGGGAGCAAACGGG